AGUGGGCAUCUUUGUACCCCUAAUUCUACUUCGGACACUUGUCCAUUUUUACCUCUCGUCUCACUCUUUUUCUUUCUUUUCCGAGGUUCCGGGCACUUGCCCCUUUUUAUUUCCUCGUAUAUUUUUGCAUAACCCAUGCCUCUUCUGCAUUGAAUCUUUUUAGAGAGAGAGAAUAACAAUACUUGGGACAGUGAGUGAUAAUAUAUUUUUAGCAAUUUUAAUGAUUGAUGAAUGCUGUGGUAGAUGUGUGCAAGUGAAUAUCUUA
This 265-nucleotide long non-coding RNA is filed under the name Sorghum bicolor (sorghum). RNAcentral describes it as "long non-coding RNA (SBIC_LNC000761)". Lineage: Eukaryota; Viridiplantae; Streptophyta; Magnoliopsida; Poales; Poaceae. The record is from RNAcentral.